Molecule: ribosomal RNA, 253 nt
Filed under: uncultured bacterium
Lineage: Bacteria
Description: partial 16S ribosomal RNA
Rfam family: Bacterial small subunit ribosomal RNA
Source: RNAcentral
UACGUAGGGGGCUAGCGUUGUCCGGAAUCAUUGGGCGUAAAGCGCGUGUAGGCGGCCCGCUAAGUCCGCUGUGAAAGUCGGGGGCUCAACCCUCGAAAGCCGGUGGAUACUGUCAGGCUAGAGUACGGAAGAGGCGAGUGGAAUUCCUGGUGUAGCGGUGAAAUGCGCAGAUAUCAGGAGGAACACCCAUUGCGAAGGCAGCUCGCUGGGACGUUACUGACGCUGAGACGCGAAAGCGUGGGGAGCAAACAGG